RNAcentral lists this ribosomal RNA (422 nucleotides) under uncultured prokaryote. Its description in RNAcentral is "bacterial SSU rRNA". It matches the Rfam family "Bacterial small subunit ribosomal RNA", at positions 355 to 774 of the family's 1533-position model. The record is from RNAcentral.
UGAGGAAUAUUGGUCAAUGGGCGGAAGCCUGAACCAGCCAUGCCGCGUGCAGGAAGACGGCCCUACGGGUUGUAAACUGCUUUUCUGCGGGAAGAACGGCCCCUACGUGUAGGGGUGUGACGGUACCGCAGGAAUAAGGAUCGGCUAACUCCGUGCCAGCAGCCGCGGUAAUACGGAGGAUCCGAGCGUUAUCCGGAUUUAAUGGGUUUAAAGGGUGCGUAGGCGGCUCCCUCAGUAAGCGGUGAAAUGGAUCGGCUCACCCGGUAACCUGCCGUUGAUACUGGGGAGCUUGAGUUGGGUUGAGGCAGGCGGAAUGUGCGGUGUAGCGGUUAAAUGCUGAGAUAUCGCACAGAACGCCGAUUGCGUAGGCAGCUUGCCAAGCCCACACUGACGCUGAGGCACGAAAGCGUGGGGAUCAAACA